AGGACGAACGCUGGCGGCGUGCUUAACACAUGCAAGUCGAGCGGAAAGGCCCUUCGGGGUACUCGAGCGGCGAACGGGUGAGUAACACGUGAGCAACCUGCCCCUGGCUCUGGGAUAGCCUCCGGAAACGGGGAUUAAUACCGGACAUGACCUGCUGCCGCAUGGUGGCGGGUGGAAAGUUUUUCGGCCAGGGUGGGGCUCGCGGCCUAUCAGCUUGGUUGGGGGGUGACGGCCCACCAAGGCGACGAC
Molecule: ribosomal RNA, 249 nt
Filed under: uncultured bacterium
Lineage: Bacteria
Description: partial small subunit ribosomal RNA
Rfam family: Bacterial small subunit ribosomal RNA
Source: RNAcentral